RNAcentral lists this ribosomal RNA (460 nucleotides) under uncultured bacterium. RNAcentral's name for it is "partial 16S ribosomal RNA". It matches the Rfam family "Bacterial small subunit ribosomal RNA", at positions 338 to 795 of the family's 1533-position model. The record is from RNAcentral.
CCUACGGGGGGCAGCAGUGAGGAAUAUUGGUCAAUGGACGAGAGUCUGAACCAGCCAAGUAGCGUGAAGGAUGACUGCCCUAUGGGUUGUAAACUUCUUUUAUAUGGGAAUAAAAUGUUCCACGUGUGGGAUUUUGUAUGUACCAUAUGAAUAAGGAUCGGCUAACUCCGUGCCAGCAGCCGCGGUAAUACGGAGGAUCCGAGCGUUAUCCGGAUUUAUUGGGUUUAAAGGGAGCGUAGGUGGAUUGUUAAGGCAGUUGUGAAAGUUUGCGGCUCAACCGUAAAAUUGCAGUUGAAACUGGCAGUCUUGAGUACAGUAGAGGUGGGCGGAAUGCGUGGUGUAGCGGUGAAAUGCUUAGAUAUCACGAAGAACGCCGAUUGCGAAGGCAGUUCACUGAACUGCAACUGACACUGAGGCUCGAAAGUGUGGGUAUCAAACAGGAUUAGAUACCCCUGUAGUC